Molecule: ribosomal RNA, 253 nt
Filed under: uncultured bacterium
Lineage: Bacteria
Description: partial 16S ribosomal RNA
Rfam family: Bacterial small subunit ribosomal RNA
Source: RNAcentral
UACGUAGGGGGCAAGCGUUGUCCGGAUUUAUUGGGCGUAAAGAGCGUGUAGGCGGCCUGACAAGUCUGCUGUGAAAACUCGAGGCUCAACCUCGAGAUGUCGGCGGAAACUGUCUGGCUAGAGUCCGGAAGAGGAGAGUGGAAUUCCUGGUGUAGCGGUGAAAUGCGCAGAUAUCAGGAAGAACACCUAUGGCGAAGGCAGCUCUCUGGGACGGUACUGACGCUGAGACGCGAAAGCGUGGGGAGCGAGCAGG